AUAAGCCCCUCCCAACAAAACCACUAUCACUUCACAUUUCAUUCCUUAAUUUCUUUCUUAAACAGCCUGUGUUUUCUUAAAUAACUCUUUUUUUUAUUAUUAUUUUUUUUUUCCAUAAAGAAAGUUUGAAGACGAAGAGUAGAAAACGAUACAUAACUUAGAAGGAUCAACGAUAAUAGUUGUACGUGCACGAGUUUUUCGGUUGCUUGAUCAAAAUUCAUUACUUAUACCGAUAUGUCUACUAAACUAAUAACUAAUAAUACAAUGGUGAUGCCAACAUCGAAUAUAACAGAUCAUAUGACGGAAUUAGUAGUAUUUGCAAAGUGCGAUUGUUGCGGAUUGAUAGAGGAGUGUACCCCGACAUACAUACAAAGUACUCGUGACACGUAUAACGGUAACUGGCUAUGCGGAUUAUGUGGAGAAGCUGUGAAAGAUGAAAUGGUAAGGAACAAAAGAUUAAUGAGCACCAAAGAGGCCGUGACACGUCAUAUGGACUUUUGUCAAGAGUCAAGGUCACCACAACCACCACAUAAUUCCGCGGUCCAUUUGAUAGCUGCAAUGAGGCAGAUUAUCCGGCGUGGUUUGGAUUCGCCGAUAAGGUCUAUGCCAAAUAGUCCUGUAAGAAAUACUGAUAACGUAAGAGGGAGUCAAUCUUAUACGGAUUUGCAACAACUUAUGAAAUGAUGAGAAAAAUAAAAGUAGUGAGGAGACAAGGGUUAUGAAAUGUAAAUGAAGAAUAGUUUUAUAUAUGUUGAAGCGGCUAAAACAUGCCGUUUUAAAAAGAAUAAUAAAAUAAAAUAAAUGUGAAGCAUUUUUGUACAUGAAA
This is a long non-coding RNA of Erigeron canadensis, 826 nucleotides long. RefSeq lists it as uncharacterized. The record is from RefSeq and is a predicted model, not a curated record. NCBI's taxonomy places the organism in Eukaryota, Viridiplantae, Streptophyta, Magnoliopsida, Asterales, Asteraceae. The transcript is spliced from 2 exons.